CCCUACGGGAGGCAGCAGUCGGGAAUAUUGCGCAAUGGAGGAAACUCUGACGCAGUGACGCCGCGUAUAGGACGAAGGUCUUCGGAUUGUAAACUAUUGUCGUUAGGGAAGAGAAAGGACAGUACCUAAGGAGGAAGCUCCGGCUAACUACGUGCCAGCAGCCGCGGUAAUACGUAGGAUCCGAGCGUUAUCCGGAUUCAUUGGGUUUAAAGGGUGCGUAGGUUGUUUUAUAAGUUAGCGGUGAAAUACCGAUGCUCAACAUCGGGGCUGCCGCUAAUACUGUAGGACUAGAGAUCGGAUGCAGC
Molecule: ribosomal RNA, 305 nt
Filed under: uncultured bacterium
Lineage: Bacteria
Description: bacterial SSU rRNA
Rfam family: Bacterial small subunit ribosomal RNA
Source: RNAcentral